UUCCGGUUGAUCCUGCCGGACCCGACUGCUAUCAGAGUAGGACUAAGCCAUGCGAGUCGACGUAGCAAUGCGUGGCGAACGGCUCAGUAACACGUAGUCAACAUGCCCAAGGGACGUGGAUAACCUCGGGAAACUGAGAAUAAACCACGAUAGGUCAUGAUUUCUGGAAUGGAUCAUGGCUCAAAUCUACAUGGCCCCUGGAUUGGACUGCGGCCGAUCAGGCAGUUGGUGAGGUAAAGGCCCACCAAACCUAUAACCGGUACGGGCUCUGAGAGGAGAAGCCCGGAGAUGGGCACUGAGACAAGGGCCCAGGCCCUAUGGGGCGCAGCAGGCGCGAAACCUCUGCAAUAGGCGAAAGCCUGACAGGGUUACUCUGAGUGAUUUCCGCUAAGGGGAUCUUUUGGCACCUCUAAAAAUGGUGCAGAAUAAGGGGUGGGCAAGUCUGGUGUCAGCCGCCGCGGUAAUACCAGCACCCCGAGUGGUCGGGACGAUUAUUGGGCCUAAAGCAUCCGUAGCCGGUUCUGCAAGUCUUCCGUUAAAUCCAGCCGCUCAACGGAUGGGCCGCGGAGGAUACUACAGGACUAGGAGGCGGGAGAGGCAAGCGGUACUCAGUGGGUAGGGGUAAAAUCCUUUGAUCCAUUGAAGACCACCAGUGGCGAAGGCGGCUUGCCAGAACGCGCUCGACGGUGAGGGAUGAAAGCUGGGGGAGCAAACCGGAUUAGAUACCCGGGUAGUCCCAG
RNAcentral lists this ribosomal RNA (740 nucleotides) under uncultured archaeon. RNAcentral describes it as "bacterial SSU rRNA". It matches the Rfam family "Archaeal small subunit ribosomal RNA", at positions 1 to 750 of the family's 1478-position model. The record is from RNAcentral.